AUUGAACGCUGGCGGCAGGCCUAACACAUGCAAGUCGAGCGGAUGAAGGGAGCUUGCUCCUGGAUUCAGCGGCGGACGGGUGAGUAAUGCCUAGGAAUCUGCCUGGUAGUGGGGGAUAACGUCCGGAAACGGGCGCUAAUACCGCAUACGUCGUGAGGGAGAAAGUGGGGGAUCUUCGGACCUCACGCUAUCAGAUGAGCCUAGGUCGGAUUAGCUAGUUGGUGGGGUAAAGGCCUACCAAGGCGACGAUCCGUAACUGGUCUGAGAGGAUGAUCAGUCACACUGGAACUGAGACACGGUCCAGACUCCUACGGGAGGCAGCAGUGGGGAAUAUUGGACAAAGGGCGAAAGCCUGAUCCAGCCAUGCCGCGUGUGUGAAGAAGGUCUUCGGAUUGUAAAGCACUUUAAGUUGGGAGGAAGGGCAGUAAGUUAAUACCUUGCUGUUUUGACGUUACCAACAGAAUAAGCACCGGCUAACUUCGUG
RNAcentral lists this ribosomal RNA (484 nucleotides) under uncultured bacterium. RNAcentral's name for it is "partial 16S ribosomal RNA". It matches the Rfam family "Bacterial small subunit ribosomal RNA", at positions 30 to 507 of the family's 1533-position model. The record is from RNAcentral.